Molecule: ribosomal RNA, 329 nt
Filed under: uncultured eukaryote
Lineage: Eukaryota
Description: partial 18S ribosomal RNA
Rfam family: Eukaryotic small subunit ribosomal RNA
Source: RNAcentral
CCCUUAGAUGUUCUGGGCCGCACGCGCGCUACACUGACGAUGGCAACGAGUUUUUCCUUCGCCGAAAGGUGUGGGUAGUCUUUUGAAACAUCGUCGUGCUGGGGAUAGAUCAUUGCAAUUUUUGAUCUUGAACGAGGAAUUCCUAGUAAGCGCGAGUCAUCAGCUCGCGUUGAUUACGUCCCUGCCCUUUGUACACACCGCCCGUCGCUACUACCGAUUGAAUGGUUUAGUGAGGACUCCUGAUUGGCGCCGCCGCCCCGGCAACGGAGCAGCGGACUGCCGAAAAGUUGUUCAAACUUGAUCAUUUAGAGGAAGUAAAAGUCGUAACA